AGGCCCUGAAGGCGCUUGAAGAGGCCAAAGAGGCCGGGGCUCGUGCUGCGAAGGCCCUUGAGGAGGCAAACGUGUAGCGCCUCCGUUUAGACCAAGUCGUUACCAGCUUGCAGGCUGAUGUUCAAGCCCGGGAGGUCGCGGUUACAGAUCUUACUGCCCGCGUGUCUGCUGCGGAGGGACGUGCUGACUCCGCUGUGGAGGCCAAGGAUGCCUUGGUGUCUUCCCUUAAUCAGUUGGAGGCUGACCGUGAGUGGAUGCGGUCAUGCGGUAUUUCGCGCAUUGUCGAGGCUAUUAUGAAUGCCCCUGAGACUGCCGCUGGUUUGAAUCUGGUCCGGGAUCACGCUCGGGAUGCCGGUUUUAAGGCAGGGUACAACCGCUGCAUUGGUCAUCUGAACGUGAUUACCAAGGGUAGUCAUACGGAUGAGCGAUCGGGGUUCCGUGGCGUGGAUACCGAGUCGCGCCUGAAAGCAGCCGAGGCCUCCUUCUAUGACACGUCCCUUGCCUGUAUACAGGAAUUGGACAGUUGUUUGGAUGCCGCGGACUAUGUAGACCGCUUGCGGAUGCUGUAUCCGGAUGUGGAAGAGGACGACGCUGCUGGUAACGCUAGAGAUGAUGCGGGGACCAGUGGUACAAAAUAGGGUUUAGGUUGGCCGGUGUGCCCCUUUUUUGCUGUCCUCUUGUAUAGAAUAGGAAACCUUAUGUAAAUCUUUGGAAGCAUCAUGUUGGUGCCUUAAUUUUUUGAAUAUAAGGUGUUUUGUUCCAUUAUACAAGUAUUGUCAGUUCUUGUAUGUUUGAAACGUAUGUAUGCGGGUCUCUACCCAUUGUGAAUGGGGUUGAGUAUACUCUAUACUAUUGCGGUAUGAGCAUGUGUCAAUUCCAUUGUUUGCCUUUCUGGGCUCAGGAAUUGUAUUAGGUAAGAAAUAUGUUUAUCCGGUUGGAUAGC
This is a long non-coding RNA of Helianthus annuus (common sunflower), 943 nucleotides long. RefSeq lists it as uncharacterized. Lineage: Eukaryota; Viridiplantae; Streptophyta; Magnoliopsida; Asterales; Asteraceae. The transcript is spliced from 3 exons. The record is from RefSeq and is a predicted model, not a curated record.